Molecule: ribosomal RNA, 468 nt
Filed under: uncultured bacterium
Lineage: Bacteria
Description: partial 16S ribosomal RNA
Rfam family: Bacterial small subunit ribosomal RNA
Source: RNAcentral
GACGAACGCUGGCGGCGUGCUUAACACAUGCAAGUCGAACGGAAAGGCCCUGCUUUUGUGCGUUGCUCGAUUGGCGAACAGGUGAGUAACACGUGAGUAACCUGCCCUUGACUUUGGGAGAACUUCAGGAAACUGGGGCUAAUACCGGAUAGGAUCUCCUGCUGCAUGGUGGGGGUUGGAAAGUUUCGGCUGUUGGGGAUGGACUCGCUGGUUACGCGCUUGUUUGUGUGGUAGUGGCUUUCGAAGGGUUCGACGGGUAGCCGGCCUGAGAGGGUUGACGGCCACAUUGGGACUGAGAUACGGACCAGAAGCCUAUGGGACGCAGCAGGCGGGAAUAUUGCAGAGUGGGGGGAAGCGUGAUGCAGCAACGCCGCGUGCGGGAUGAUGGGCUUCGAGUUGUAAACAACUUUCGACGGUGCCGAGGAGUGCGUGACGGUAAUGGGUAAAGAAGCACCGGCUAACUACGUG